This 501-nucleotide ribosomal RNA is filed under the name uncultured bacterium. RNAcentral describes it as "partial 16S ribosomal RNA". It matches the Rfam family "Bacterial small subunit ribosomal RNA", at positions 30 to 523 of the family's 1533-position model. The record is from RNAcentral.
AUUGAACGCUGGCGGCAGGCUUAACACAUGCAAGUCGAGCGGAGCGAGGGUGCUUGCACCUUAGCUUAGCGGCGGACGGGUGAGUAAUGCUUAGGAAUCUGCCUAUUAGUGGGGGACAACAUUCCGAAAGGAAUGCUAAUACCGCAUACGCCCUACGGGGGAAAGCAGGGGAUCUUCGGACCUUGCGCUAAUAGAUGAGCCUAAGUCGGAUUAGUUAGUUGGCGGGGUAAAGGCCUACCAAGGCGACGAUCGGUAGCGGGUCUGAGAGGAUGGUCGGCCACACUGGGACGGAGACGCGGCCCAGACUCCUACGGGAGGCAGCAGUGGGGAAUAUUGGACAAUGGGCGGAAGCCUGAUCCAGCCAUGCCGCGUGUGUGAAGAAGGCCUUUUGGUUGUAAAGCACUUUAAGCGAGGAGGAGGCUACUUAGAUUAAUACUCUGGGAUAGUGGACGUUACUCGCAGAAUAAGCACCGGCUAACUCUGUGCCAGCCGCCGCCGUAA